GACGAACGCUGGCGGCGUGCUUAACACAUGCAAGUCGAACGGAAAGGCCCUGCUUUUGUGGGGUGCUCGAGUGGCGCACGGGUGAGUAACGCGAGAGUAACCUGCCCUUGACUUUGGGAUAACUUCAGGACACUGGGGCUAAUACCGGAUAGGAGCUCCUGCUGCAUGGUGGGGGUUGGAAAGUUUCGGCGGUUGGGGAUGGACUCGCGGCUUAUCAUCGUGUUGGUGGGGUAGUGGCUUACCAAGGCUUUGACGGGUCGCCGGGCUGAGAGGGUGAACGGGCCCAUUUGGGCUGGGAUACCGGCCAGGCUCCCUAGGGGGGGAGGGGGUGGGGAAAAUGGAAAAUGGGGCGGAGCCUGAAGGCGGAAAGGCCGGGGGGGGGAGGAGGGCCUUCGGUUGUUAAACGGUUUCGGCCUGUGAGGAAGUUUGUGUGACGGUAAUGGGUAAAGAAGCACCGGCUAACUACGUG
RNAcentral lists this ribosomal RNA (469 nucleotides) under uncultured bacterium. Its description in RNAcentral is "partial 16S ribosomal RNA". It matches the Rfam family "Bacterial small subunit ribosomal RNA", at positions 28 to 507 of the family's 1533-position model. The record is from RNAcentral.